Long non-coding RNA from Felis catus (domestic cat), 2145 nucleotides. RefSeq lists it as uncharacterized. The transcript is spliced from 3 exons. Lineage: Eukaryota; Metazoa; Chordata; Mammalia; Carnivora; Felidae. The record is from RefSeq and is a predicted model, not a curated record.
CUCUGAUGAUUCGUUCGUUCAUUCACCCACUGGGUAAUGGUUCACGGAGUGCUUACUGGGUGCCUUGCACACUCUUUGGCACUGGGGUGAACACACAGAGACAAAAAUCCCUGCCUUCAGGGAACAGACAUUCUAGUGAGAGAGAUAAUCGAUAACAAACGGAGGCGCACACAAUUAAUGUUGUCCUUAGAGCCGCUGGGGACACUUGUCGCUCCCUGCCUUCCUGGCACGUGGUAAAAUUCAACCCUCUGACCCCGGUGGUUGGCUGGGGCCUUGUGACAUAUGCUGACCAACGAGGCGGGAGCAGAAAAUGCCCUUCCUUCAGGGCCAGAGCGUUCCAUUGCCAUUGUGAGACCCUACAGGGUACGUGCUCCCUCUGCCACCGUGACCAGCGAUGUCCCAGGCCAGCCUGGGUGCCUAGGAGAUGAGACAGGACACUCAGCCCUCCCGCGUAGACAUGUGGGGUAGUAAGCAUUUAGUUUAUGUAUUUUAGACCACGGAGAUCUGAGGAUGGUUUGUUCUCACGACCUAACCUCACCAAGGCUGACGGAUGCAGGAGGCGUAAGCAUUACGCUCUAGCUCCGGGACAGCCAGGAAAGUGUCUUAUUAUUCAUCUCCAACUCAAGAGCCUGGAGGUGUCAGGUUCACAUCCGGCACAGGCUGGUUGGGGCUGAAUUGAAUCACAUUCACACACACACACACACACACACACACGCACGCAAUCAUCAUCAUCAUGAGAACUAGCAUUUACUGAGUGUUUACUAUGUGCCAAGAACAGUCCUAAGUGGUUACAAAUGCCUGAACGCCUUUGAUCUUACAAUAACCAUAGGAAGUAGACCCUCUUAUUCUUCCCAUGUUCCCCAAAACUGAGGUAUAGAGAAGUUAAGACACUUGUCCAAGGUCACACAGCUAGUAAGUGGCCGAGGCAGGAUUUGAACCCAGAGGGACAGGCUCCAGAGCCCAUGCUACUAACUGUCACAUAAAACCCCAGCCUCCCCCUUAUACAAGAGGGUCUACACGGACGUGUGCAGGCACACACGCACACACACGCAGAAUCUCCUGUGGGGCAGUGUCCUUAGGGCAGCAGCAGAGGAAGCCAGCCCUACUACCCCUCCCACCCGCCUCCACCGAGCUCGGCGCCCCCCUCCACUCCUGGCUGUCACACUCUGGGGUGAAGUGGCCCAUCUGUCUCCAACACAAAGGAUCAGGCAGGGGUGGGGGCCAGAGGCCCCAGAGGGGUUGUGUAAAUGGCUCUGCUUUGAGCAACAGCUAAUUUCUAAACAUAAUUAUUAAUUUCAUGCUUAUCAUAUGCAAACCUCUGUCUCCCAGACGAGAUGAAAUUGAUUUAAUUAGAAAUUCCACCAUCAAGCCUUUUGGAUCCAAGCUUUUAAUUAGGAUCGCCAACCCCACCCAAGGCUGCCAGAAAGUGGGCUCCUGGCCCCUGCUUCUCGUCCCAAGGCCCCAGGCAGAGCCAGGGUGUGUGGGCACCUCCAGUGUCACCAGAGCUCCACUGGCCAGGCCAGGGUCCCUUGCUGGGACCACUACCCAUGUCCCACCCCACACAGGGUGACACGGCCCCCCUGGCAUCACAAUGGGGAGACAGCUUGGAGACAACUCAUAUCAUCUCAUAGCAGGAAGGACUGGGGUGUUUAAGGUGGGAAGGAGACAGGAGAAAUAAUAGACCUCCCCUCCUCAUGCAAAAUUCGCAUGCCAGCUUCCCUUUGGGAGACCCUGCCAGCUCCAUGAAUCCAGGGACCUUUCCUUCAUUCCCCACCGGACGCCCGGCACAGAUCUGGCACGGGGCAGGUGCCCAAUAAGCAAAGGGGCCACUUCAUUCUUGCCACACAAGCAGCCCGAGGACACGCUCCACGGGGUCGUAAGCACCUUAGACGAGGAGCCCGGGAAAAAACGGGGCACGAUAAGGCACGGAGGCCGGAGAAGAACAGAGGGCGCAGAGUGGAGGGCCUCGGCCGGCUGACAAAGGAGCCGCUCGGAUGCAGACUCCAAGGAAUUACCGCCGAUAAGAGCACAGGCGGGGGAGCGCGCGGUGCAAGGGCGAGAGCAAACAAGAUCCUCAAUCAGCACUUGUCCUAUUUCAUAAGCAAAAUGUAGAUCAAUAAAUUACACUCACUUGUGCAGGUUUUA